CCCCUCUCAGGGUCACACCUGGAGAGUUCCCAGUACUCUACCAGUCUUGACUACAGAAGGGAUAGUCAGGCAGAGGCCUGACCAUUCCAUUCCCAGCUUAAGCAGUGGCUAGCGAGUGGAAGACAAUCUGCUACAAGU
RNAcentral lists this small nucleolar RNA (138 nucleotides) under Ornithorhynchus anatinus (platypus). Lineage: Eukaryota; Metazoa; Chordata; Mammalia; Monotremata; Ornithorhynchidae. The record is from RNAcentral.